RNAcentral lists this long non-coding RNA (3612 nucleotides) under Betta splendens (Siamese fighting fish). Its description in RNAcentral is "lncRNA (ENSBSLG00000009127.1)". Lineage: Eukaryota; Metazoa; Chordata; Actinopteri; Anabantiformes; Osphronemidae. The record is from RNAcentral.
AUGAUCAAGCAUAGCAGUGGGAAGUUAUGGCGGCAAGGCGACCAGUCUGGUGGCCUAGCCCCCAUGAGGCCCAAGGCCACUCGUGGACCACCGCGACGACAAACGGGAACCAGCGGCGUCCUCCUUGGACCACCGCAACGACGAACGAGAACCAGCGGCGUCCUCCUUGGACCACCGCGACGACGAACGAGAACCAGCGGCGUCCUCCUUGGACCACCGCGACGACAAACGGGAACCAACGGCGUCCUCUUUGGACCACCGCGACGAAACGUGGCCUCCACUGGACCACCAGGAACCUCAAGGGUCAAACGUGGCUUGGCGACAGGAACCGUACGAGGUGCUGCCCUCGGGGAAACAAGAAGCAGCCCCACCCUCAGAGAAGCGCCCUUCUUGGAGGGCAGACGUGGAGCCGGAACCGGAGACGAAACCAGACGUGGAGCCGGAACCGGAGACGAAGCCAGACGUGGAGCCGGAACCGGAGACGAAGCCAGACGUGGACGUGGAGCCGGAACCGGAGACGAAACCAGACGUGGACGUGUAGCCGGAAUUGGAGACGAAACCAGACGUGGAGCCCGAGCCGGAGCCAGAGACGAAACUAGACGUGGAGCCGGAACCGGAGACGAAACCAGACGUGGAGCCGGAACCAGAGACGAAACCAGACGUGGAGCCGGAACCAGAGACGAAACCAGACGUGGAAACGGAGACGAAACCAGACGUGGAGCCAGAGCCGGAGCCAGAGACGAAACUAGACGUGGAGCCGAAACCGGAGCCAAACAUGAAGAGGUGAAGGCAACAGCUGAUGUGCUGUCGCGCUGAAUCGCACUGAACGGCGCCGCCACCUUAUGGCACCGUGGUGCAGGUACUGGGAAGUUCGGCUGCGGCGUUGACGUUCCACGCCGAGGGGCCGAAACCAGAACCAGAUGUUGUGCAACGGGACUGCCCCGCUGUAUUUCCAUGCCCUGCGUCUCCUCCAAACGCUGGGACCGUGGAGUUGGCACAGCAGUAGUGAACUGCCGAUCUGCACCCGUCGACGCUUCCUCGUUGAAGUGCCUUGGUGCAGGUGUAGGAGUCUGAACAGCGGCAUCCUCACGCUGUGACUCCCCAUCCAGUGCUCCCUCCCAAGAGCGCUGGGUAAGAGGAUCUCCCGCUGACACGUUGCCGGCCGACGGCCAGCGGGCUCCGACACUUGGUCCUCCAAGUGCCGGUCUGGAGGAGCGAGAACAGCAGCCCUCCAUUGCUGUCUCGUCGAGCGCAGCGUCCUCCGCCUUGAACGCUGACGUCUCGGGGGCUGUGCAACAGACGCAGUGAAGUUCGUUGUGCGAGCCGAAUCAGAGACGCUCAUCUUAGCGCCAACCCACGAGCUGGAGAUGAGCGACUGUCCAUGGAAGUCUGGGGGCCCGGUACAAAAACGAAACCCCGAGUCUGGAAGAGGGGGGCGAAAUAGUGCGCGUUGUAGCUCAUCGCGCAUCGCACCCACCUCAACCCACAGCUUUGCCACACCCGGGAACUCAAACAACCAGGGUUCCUCCCACAAAAUGUCAUCCAGCAGCUCGACUGCUACUAACCUGGCCUCCGGCCUAGGAGCUUCAGUGGCUGCUUUCAAAAUGACCCCAUAGCGCAUCAAAAAGUGUGGGGACAGAUCUGGUCUAGCUGGAUCCAUGGCACUGAACUCGAACUGGUUACACACACAGACAAACUAAACAAGUCGUACAAGCACGAAAACAAGACUAGCACCCAGUGAACACAAACACACAACCUCACAAACAAGACAAGCUAUAGUGCUAACACAGAACUCCUACAGUAGCGCUCCACUACGCUAACCGGAGAAAAACAAAAGAAAAGGGUCGGCUGGGUCCAAAUGGUUGGUGCAUUCUGUUACGGACGAGGAUCAAACUGGACCAAACAAGAUUCUAAAACACGCUCCUUGAGCGUGGAGACAAACUACAAUAGUCUACAAACUGGACUGGAGGGAGGACCCAAACGCAACGACCCCGAGACAGGACUGACGAGAAAUGGUUUAAUAAUAACACAUACCGAAAGGACAAUACAAACUAAGGACGCUGCGACUGCAGGAUGAACCAGAAAACAAAACAUGCAAACUAACACAUUAAACUCACAGGUAAACUCAAAAUCGCUGCAGAGCAGGAAACUAAAUAACUAUCCUAAACACAAAUUAUGCAAACAACAGUAUAAAACGUAAUCAGCGAACAAAGACACAAACCUGGACAGAACACGAUGGCACGGUGACGAGUAACAAGUAACAAAUAACAAGUAUGAGUAACGAGUAAACAUAACGAGCAACAAGUAAUGCACCAACAAAGACUGUGCACAAACUGAGACCUUAAAUACCAGACAAGACAGGUGAACCCAAUCAAACUAAUACAGAAAACACAAGACAGGAAACAAGGACACAAGAGCAAAAGGGUGAAACCAGGCUGCCCCUGGUGGCGUGGAAGCCGAGUCACAACACUCUCAGAGCGAUGCAGAGAAACUGAUCCAUGCAUUUGUUACCUCUAGGCUGGACUACUGUAACUCCUUACUCAUAGGAUGUCCUAACAGCUCCUUAAAAAGCCUACAGCUUAUUCAAAAUGCUGCAGCCAGAGUUCUGACAGGACUUAGAAAGAGAGAUCACAUUUCUCCUACAUUAGCUUCUCUGCACUGGCUGCCUGUAAAAUGUAGGAUAGAAUUUAAAAUUCUCAUGCUCACAUACAAAGUACUCAAUGAUAAAGCUCCUUCUUAUCUUAAAGACCUUAUAGUUCCUUAUGCUCCCAGCAGAACACUUCGUUCUCAGAGCGCUGGGCUACUUGUGGUUCCUAGAGUGUUUAAAUGUAGAACAGGGGGCAGAGCUUUUAGCUACCAAGCUCCUCUCCUCUGGAACCAGCUCCCUCUUCAGGUUCGAGAAGCUGACACACUCUCCCCCUUUAAGAUUAGGCUUAAAACCUUCCUUUUUGAUAAAGCUUAUAGUUAGAGAUGGUUCAGGUCACUGGCAAUUAUUGUAAGUCACAGGAACCAUCUCUUAGUUAAGCUGCAAUAGACAUAGACUGCUGGGGGACUUAAUUUAUACACUGAGCUCCUCUGUUUCCUUCUACCUCCUCUGUCCCAUAACCUCCCAUCAUUGUCUCAUGUUUAACUAACCUUGUCCCUUUCUGUCCAGUAGUUGUGCUUCUCUCCUCCCCCACUCUUUCUCCCUCUCUGUCCUCACCUACAGGUAUCAUUGGACUCAAAGUUUGGUGUCUGUGAUGGGCAGCUGCGGAUCCAACCAUCCUGCCUGCAUCCAGUCCCUGGUCCAACCAUCCUGCCUGUGCUCUGUUGUUGCUUGUUGUUGCUUGUUGCUGUUGCUGUGCUUUUCUAUCUCUCUAUCCUCUCACCCCAACCGGUCGAGGCAGAUGGCCGCCCACAUCCAGUCUGGUUCUGCUGGAGGUUUCUUCCUCGUUAGAGAGGGAGUUUUUCCUCUCCACUGUUGCUGUCAAAUUAAAUGCUUGCUGUAUGUGGGAUUUGUUGGGUUUAGUUGUGUGAGGUUUUAAACCUUACUUUGUAAAGUGCCUUGAAAUAACUUUGUUGUGAUUUGGCGCUAUAUAAAUAAAAUUGAAUUGAAUUGCUUAAACUAGCCCA